UACGUAGGUGGCAAGCGUUGUCCGGAAUUACUGGGUGUAAAGGGAGCGUAGGCGGGUACGCAAGUAAAGUGUGAAAUCUAUGGGCUCAACCCAUAGACUGCGCUUUAAACUGUGUAUCUUGAGUGGAGCAGAGGCAGGCGGAAUUCCUAGUGUAGCGGUGAAAUGCGUAGAUAUUAGGAGGAACACCAGUGGCGAAGGCGGCCUGCUGGGCUUUAACUGACGCUGAGGCUCGAAAGUAUGGGUAGCAAACAGGAUUAGAUACCCUGGUAGUCCAUACUGUAAACGAUGAUUACUAGGUGUAGGAGGACUGACCCCUUCUGUGCCGGAGUUAACACAAUAAGUAAUCCACCUGGGGAGUACGAUCGCAAGAUUGAA
This 375-nucleotide ribosomal RNA is filed under the name uncultured bacterium. RNAcentral describes it as "bacterial SSU rRNA". It matches the Rfam family "Bacterial small subunit ribosomal RNA", at positions 524 to 898 of the family's 1533-position model. The record is from RNAcentral.